RNAcentral lists this ribosomal RNA (50 nucleotides) under Convolvulus glandulosus. RNAcentral's name for it is "partial 26S ribosomal RNA". Lineage: Eukaryota; Viridiplantae; Streptophyta; Magnoliopsida; Solanales; Convolvulaceae. The record is from RNAcentral.
GACCCCAGGUCAGGCGGGACUACCCGCUGAAUUUAAGCAUAUCAAUAAGC